AGCCCUAGCACAGGUGCUGCAUGGCCGUCGUCAGCUCGUGCCGUGAGGUGUUCGGGUUAAGUCCCCGCAACGAGCGCAACCCCCGCCGUUAGUUGCCAGCGGUUCGGCCGGGCACUCUAACGGGGACUGCCCGCGAAAGCGGGAGGAAGGAGGGGACGACGUCUGGUCAGCAUGGCCCUUACGGCCUGGGCGACACACGUGCUACAAUGCCCACUACAAAGCGAUGCCACCCGGCAACGGGGAGCUAAUCGCAAAAAGGUGGGCCCAGUUCGGAUUGGGGUCUGCAACCCGACCCCAUGAAGCCGGAAUCGCUAGUAAUCGCGGAUCAGCCAUGCCGCGGUGAAUACGUUCCCGGGCCUU
Molecule: ribosomal RNA, 360 nt
Filed under: uncultured Thermus sp.
Lineage: Bacteria; Thermotogati; Deinococcota; Deinococci; Thermales; Thermaceae
Description: bacterial SSU rRNA
Rfam family: Bacterial small subunit ribosomal RNA
Source: RNAcentral